This 457-nucleotide ribosomal RNA is filed under the name uncultured bacterium. Its description in RNAcentral is "partial 16S ribosomal RNA". It matches the Rfam family "Bacterial small subunit ribosomal RNA", at positions 29 to 523 of the family's 1533-position model. The record is from RNAcentral.
AGCGAACGCUGGCGGCAGGCCUAACACAUGCAAGUCGAACGAAGUCUUCGGACUUAGUGGCGGACGGGUGAGUAACACGUGGGAACGUGCCCUUUGGUACGGAAUAACUCAGGGAAACUUGAGCUAAUACCGUAUGUGCCCUUCGGGGGAAAGAUUUAUCGCCAUUGGAGCGGCCCGCGUCUGAUUAGCUAGUUGGUGAGGUAAAGGCUCACCAAUGCGACGAUCAGUAGCUGGUCUGAGAGGAUGAUCAGCCACAUUGGGACUGAGACACGGCCCAAACUCCUACGGGAGGCAGCAGUGGGGAAUCUUGCGCAAUGGGCGAAAGCCUGACGCAGCCAUGCCGCGUUAAUGAUGAAGGUCUUAGGAUUGUAAAAUUCUUUCACCGGGGACGAAACCGCAAGGUUGACGGUACCCGUAGAAGAAGCCCCGGCUAACUCCGUGCCAGCCGCCGCCGUAA